UUUCAGUGGCACGAGGACACUCGUAUCUGCGGAUAUCUGAUAGCGAGCCUUUCUGGUCAGCUGAGCAGCAGCAGAGAGGAAAACCUUCAGACUGAAGUUUGAUUUAGAAUCCAGCUGUUCAACAGACUGCAGAGGAACUCUUACUGAGAAUGGCUGAAAGUCCAAGAAGUGGGAGCAGAGACCUGCCUCCUCAUCUGUCUGUAUUAAAGAGCAAACUCAUCAAA
Micropterus salmoides (largemouth bass) is the source of this 224-nucleotide long non-coding RNA. RefSeq lists it as uncharacterized. The record is from RefSeq and is a predicted model, not a curated record. Lineage: Eukaryota; Metazoa; Chordata; Actinopteri; Centrarchiformes; Centrarchidae. The transcript is spliced from 2 exons.